RNAcentral lists this ribosomal RNA (712 nucleotides) under Laccaria bicolor. RNAcentral's name for it is "LSU rRNA". It matches the Rfam family "Eukaryotic large subunit ribosomal RNA", at positions 76 to 769 of the family's 3401-position model. The record is from RNAcentral. Lineage: Eukaryota; Fungi; Basidiomycota; Agaricomycetes; Agaricales; Hydnangiaceae.
UCCCCUAGUAACUGCGAGUGAAGCGGGAAAAGCUCAAAUUUAAAAUCUGGCAGUCUUUGGCUGUCCGAGUUGUAAUCUAGAGAAGUAUUAUCCGCGCUGGACCGUGUACAAGUCUCCUGGAAUGGAGCGUCAUAGAGGGUGAGAAUCCCGUCUUUGACACGGACUGCCAGGGCUUUGUGAUAUGCUCUCAAAGAGUCGAGUUGUUUGGGAAUGCAGCUCAAAAUGGGUGGUAAAUUCCAUCUAAAGCUAAAUAUUGGCGAGAGACCGAUAGCGAACAAGUACCGUGAGGGAAAGAUGAAAAGAACUUUGGAAAGAGAGUUAAACAGUACGUGAAAUUGCUGAAAGGGAAACGCUUGAAGUCAGUCGCGUUGGCCAGGGAUCAACCUUGCUUUUUUGCUUGGCUUACUUUCUGGUCGAUGGGUCAGCAUCAAUUUUGACCGGUGGAAAAAGUUCAAAGGAAUGUGGCAUCUUCGGAUGUGUUAUAGCCUUUGUUCACAUACAUUGGUUGGGAUUGAGGAACUCAGCACGCCGCAAGGCCGGGUUUUUAACCACGUACGUGCUUAGGAUGCUGGCAUAAUGGCUUUAAUCGACCCGUCUUGAAACACGGACCAAGGAGUCUAACAUGCCUGCGAGUAUUUGGGGUGAAAAAACCCGAGUGCGUAAUGAAAAGUGAAAGUUGAGAUCCCUGUCGUGGGGAGCAUUGACGCCCGGG